UACGGAGGGAGCUAGCGUUGUUCGGAAUUACUGGGCGUAAAGCGCACGUAGGCGGCUUUGCAAGUUAGAGGUGAAAGCCCGGGGCUCAACCCCGGAAUUGCCUUUAAAACUGCAUCGCUAGAGUUGUGGAGAGGUAAGUGGAAUUCCGAGUGUAGAGGUGAAAUUCGUAGAUAUUCGGAAGAACAACAGUGGCGAAGGCGACUUACUGGACACAUACUGACGCUGAGGUGCGAAAGCGUGGGGAGCAAACAGG
Molecule: ribosomal RNA, 253 nt
Filed under: uncultured bacterium
Lineage: Bacteria
Description: partial 16S ribosomal RNA
Rfam family: Bacterial small subunit ribosomal RNA
Source: RNAcentral